This is an RNA transcript of Portunus trituberculatus (swimming crab), 859 nucleotides long. RefSeq lists it as uncharacterized. The transcript is spliced from 4 exons. NCBI's taxonomy places the organism in Eukaryota, Metazoa, Arthropoda, Malacostraca, Decapoda, Portunidae. The record is from RefSeq and is a predicted model, not a curated record.
AGAUGGUGAUUGCCCUCUUUGUUGUCUGGUGUUCUUUAUGUUCCCUACAGGAGCUGCCGAUACAAAGGCCUGACCCAGAAGAAAUUCUGCGUCACCUGUACCAUCAAGAUCAAGAUCAAGACCGGCGCUGCCGCCACAACCACCCCCUCUUGUGGCAGGGGCCGGCAGGGACGCGCUGGGACGCAUCCUCUUCACCGACCCACACAAAUACAAGGACGCCAUAUACAAGAGGUGGACACAGCGGGAAAAGAAGAAAAAAGAACUUCAACAUUAGCGGAACAAAGAACGAGAAGAAGUAAGGAGCUUCCGUUGCAACAUCUACAUCUACAUCUACCACUAAUGGCCACCGGGAUACGUGUCUUAUUUAAUGAUUUCCGAGGCCCCUGGCGGUCAUGGAGGGCGGUGAGCAGUGCCUGGGGUCAUGUUGCUUGUGUGGCCGGUGUGAAUGUGACCGGGGGCUUGGCAGGGGUGAUGGGAGGCUUGGCAAGGGUGGCAGGGGGGCGAGGUACAGAAAAUACCCCCCGGCGUACAUGCCCUCAAAACUGCAGGAGAUGGAGGACAGCGGGGAGAUGAAGGAAUUUGAGUAGCGGGCGGUCCGAGUGGCCCACAGCACCCACACCACCUCCGUACUCCACCACCCGCUUGUCAGGAAAUUCACCAACCACAUCAUGAAAACAGGAAACAAACCUCUGGCCAGGGAACUUGUCGAGAAGGUCAAAGGUCACAACUAGCCAGCCGGGAGUGGGUCAGGAUGGCACGGCUGGCUGUGGUGGUGGUGGUGGUGGUAUUGGUGUUGGCGGCAGCAGCGGCGGGAAGGCCAGACUACACGCUGUCCCAAAAUUUAUUGAAAUGUUGCAGA